Molecule: long non-coding RNA, 2109 nt
Filed under: Sorghum bicolor (sorghum)
Lineage: Eukaryota; Viridiplantae; Streptophyta; Magnoliopsida; Poales; Poaceae
Description: long non-coding RNA (SBIC_LNC007918)
Source: RNAcentral
GUCAAGCACUAUCCCUCCUAUUUAUACUUCACCUUUGUUCCAGAGUUUUUCAUAGGUUUUCAAAAUAAAACUCAGAGUUCCCAGCAAUGAUUCUCUCAAGUCUCUCUAUAUGUGGUAUUUGUGGAUCCUUACCAUGAUAUCACUUACCUAUAGCUAAUGAAAUAUUUAAGUGGAGCUCAUAGGAGUGAAAAACAGCUCAUACAUAUGUUGUCUAAUCGAGCCAUGGAUCCAAAGGAACUCAGCAUAUAAUUAAAUCAAGACGUGCAUGUGUGAUGGAGUAAAUGAUAGUGAUGGUGAAAAUGUAUAAGUAAUAAUAAAACUUGGUUCUCAUUGCUCCUUAUAUUGCUAUCUCUCCUCUUCUUUGAUCUUUGCUUUGGGAGAACAUGGGCUAUCUCUUUUUUUUUCUUCAGGUGGGUAGUAGAUACCCCUAAUUCUACUGUCGGACACUUGUCCAUUUUUUCCGCUCAAGUGGGCAUCUUUGUACCCCUAAUUCUACUUCGGACACUUGUCCAUUUUUACCUCUCGUCUCACUCUUUUUCUUUCUUUUCCGAGGUUCCGGGCACUUGCCCCUUUUUAUUUCCUCGCAUAUUUUUUUUACAUAACCCAUGCCUCUUCUGCAUUAAAUCUUUUUAUAGAGAGAGAAUAACACUAUUCGGGAUAGUGAGUGAUAAUAUUUUUUAGCAAUUUUAAUGAUUGAUGAUGAAUGCUGUGGUAGAUGUGUGCAAGUGAAUAUCUUAAUUUAACCACAUGAAAAGCUCCUAAGGGUCUACACAGCUCGAUCAAACUCAAUGUGAAUAUAGUAAAAGAUGUUAUAGCAAGUAUGGCUGUGGUAGGUAGUUUGUUAUGCUAGGAACUCAUCAUGUGAUUUGUAAGUUUUCAAAAUAAACCUCCAGAACUUAGUGUAGUAGGAACAAGACAAACAGUAGCUCAACUUUAUAUCAUGCCUUUCUCUUACCUAGACUUUAGUUUUAUUUUUCUCAUAGAUAGUGAUCUUAGUUUUAGUAAUUCCUGGAAGAACUCUAAUAUAAAAGCUAGGUACUUGUAAGUAAGCAAACAGAGCAACUGUUCAUCAUUUCCAUCAUGCAUAUUUUUGGUUUUUUAUUUUGUUUUCAUGUUUAUAAAGUGCAGUAAAUUAAAGCAAGAAAAUAUUUAUUUGGUUUUCUAAGUUUUUCCUUUUAAGAUAAAUUAAAUACUAAGACAGAAUAGAAUAAAUAAGAAGAGCAAAUAAAAACUUACUUGAUAAAUUUGGGAGGAACUCCCCCAAGCUGGAUGUUGACGUCGGUCUUACCCGAUGUUCCAGAACCGCAUCAUGGUUGUGAUGUUGUCGUUCAUUGUUGUUGUAUCUUGUCUCAACUCUUGUACUGCAGCAGCAUGGUACUGGUUCCAUUUUUGUUGCUCUUCCAGGAGUCUUCCAUGUUCUGCUUGCGUGUUCUGAAUGUCGAGGAGGGUGUUGUCGGUACGAGUGAAGAAAGCACCGGCCUCUUGAUUGUAGUCAUUCGUGAAGGCGUAGGAGGCGUCGGAGUAUCGUCCUACAUCAAAUUGGGGUGGAGGCCUGGAUCCUGAAGCUCCAUAUGGAUCAGUGGAGUACCUGCCCGUAUGAAAAGGCAGGUUUGUCCACUGGUGAUCUUGGCUCUCCGGCCAUGUCUCCUCCGUUGGCUCUUGUGGUUGCGCAUGACGAGCCCAUGGGUCUCGAAGGACUCGUGGAUUGUAAUCGCAAUAAUGCAGGUGCGCUGCUUCUUCUGGUCCAGGGUCAGCUCCAUACCAAGUGCGUUCUCGGUGAGUGGUUAUCCUUUCAGAUGCCACUCGCUGUGGAGUUCUCUAGUUCACUGGUGUUGCUGCAAUCUCAACCAAAAAGUUUUGCACAGCGUAGAGGCCAAGGUUCGGGUUAGGUAACCGAAUCUUGCCUUUAUCAUCAUACAGCAUGUACAUUAUAUUUCCCUCUUUCUUUAACAUCCGAGCUUGUCUAAAUGUGUCAUAGCCAUGAUAAAUUCUUAAUUCUUCUAUGAAAUCCAACGAUGAGUUUUCUAGUAAGUGAAGAUUAGUGGCUAGACGAGUGAUAAGUGAAGUACAUCCUACUGGUCCCUGAAGACUAGGUAUACUAAGCCAAUG